AAGUCGUAACAAGGUCUCCGUAGGUGAACCUGCGGAGGGAUCAUUGAAGAAUUUUUAAUUCGAGGGGGGAUAAUUCUCCCCUUGGAUUAUUAACCAACCAACUUACAUGACUAGGAAAAGAAGAACAGGGGAGGGAGAGAAAGGAAGGAAGGUGCCAUGAGUUGUUGGCCCUGCCCCUUGUCCUCACACCCUUUGAAAACCAAAAGUUCUUGGCUGAUAAGCAGUUUGUGAUUUGGACAAAGAAAAAUACAAUACAACUUUCAACAACGGAUCUCUUGGCUCUCA
Molecule: unclassified non-coding RNA, 285 nt
Filed under: fungal sp.
Lineage: Eukaryota; Fungi
Description: partial internal transcribed spacer region
Rfam family: Eukaryotic small subunit ribosomal RNA (bases 1-46)
Source: RNAcentral